This 252-nucleotide ribosomal RNA is filed under the name uncultured bacterium. RNAcentral's name for it is "partial 16S ribosomal RNA". It matches the Rfam family "Bacterial small subunit ribosomal RNA", at positions 524 to 776 of the family's 1533-position model. The record is from RNAcentral.
UACGGAGGAUGCGAGCGUUAUCCGGAUUUAUUGGGCUUAAAGGGUGCGUAGGCGGCCUGCCAAGUCAGCGGUAAAAUUGCGGGGCUCAACCCCGUACAGCCGUUGAAACUGCCGGGCUCGAGUGGGCGAGAAGUAUGCGGAAUGCGUGGUGUAGCGGUGAAAUGCAUAGAUAUCACGCAGAACCCCGAUUGCGAAGGCAGCAUACCGGCGCCCUACUGACGCUGAGGCACGAAAGUGCGGGGAUCAAACAGG